GACUACAUAAGUAACUGGAAGUAUUUCCACAAUUUUGGCCACUAGUGUAUGCUGGGUGUUUUUUGUCUUUUUUUUUCUGCUGGGUCCAUUGAUUGGUAGACCUUUCUGCCAAUCAGCGCCAGCCGACGAAUAGCCUGCAAUCUGGGAGGAGCAAAAUGUUUAAAGAUGAGUGCACGCAGAGAUGGCUGAAGCUUGGGAAGCUCUUGUUUUUGCCUUUCCUUAAGCCACUUUUGACUUUUAUUCAUCAAAUCUAUAUGCACAGGAAAAGGGACUGGCUAGGCAGGAGGUGCACACCUACACAUUUACGUAGGACUGUUGAUGUUAAAUACACUAGAUAGGCGGGCGGAGGCCAACCCUUCUAUAUUUUGUGUGCGUAGGAGCUGCAGGUAUCCAUACAGAAGCAGCACGAGGAUGGAACGGUGCUGCGAUCAGGGAAUAGAGGGAUGAAUCACAGUGAAGGAGAACAAGGUUUCGACCAUGCAUGUGCUGUCCGAUCCGAUUCAGACAUUCCCCGAGGGGGGGGGGGGGGGUCUCUUGGGUACCCCCC
Molecule: long non-coding RNA, 547 nt
Organism: Brienomyrus brachyistius
Lineage: Eukaryota; Metazoa; Chordata; Actinopteri; Osteoglossiformes; Mormyridae
Exons: 3
Source: RefSeq, a predicted model, not a curated record